Sus scrofa (pig) is the source of this 767-nucleotide long non-coding RNA. RefSeq lists it as uncharacterized. NCBI's taxonomy places the organism in Eukaryota, Metazoa, Chordata, Mammalia, Artiodactyla, Suidae. The record is from RefSeq and is a predicted model, not a curated record.
GCCCGAGAGUCGUGCGUGCGUACGACCCACCGACACCUCCCACCGGGGCACCUUCCUGCCGUGGAAACUGCGAGAGUUAAGAAGUGCCUUGCAGGAGGCUGGGUUCCUGCGGGCUCGCUAGGUGGUUUCUCUGAGGAGCCUCUGCGGCAUUGCGCUCUCACCUUGACCAGAGGGUGCUCCAGCCAGUACUCCCGGGCUGAGGUUAAAUGCAGUGAGCUAGUCAUCGAAUUAUGAGGGCAAGAAUUCGCUAUGGUUAUUGGAAUGCCAUCUGAAGCCCUACUGUUCGGAAUCCAGUCCUGUCUUCACCGCGUUCUUUGAUUUGGUGGCAGCAGUGAGAUUGAAGGAGACUUCUGACAGCUUCAGGGACAAUGAGAAAUACAGGCCCAAUGCCCUGUGAAUCCUUUGAGUUCUUUGUCUUUUUUGAAGUUUCUGAGGGCCACAGAAAUUGUACUAUAAAAGGUGUGUUGGAUGAAGAGGUGAUCAAACGAUAUACAGCCAAAACCAUAUAGAAAACAAGGCAGCAUAGAGGGCUUCCAGAGAUCUCAUAUAGAGCCAUGGAUCAUGAAUCCUACCCUGAAGCUCAGCAAAGCAGCAUCUGAUGAGAAUGGGAUGAAAAUUGAACGAGCACACCGAACUACCACCAUCCUUAUGCAAAAGCAAGUUUGGAGUUGCUGGCAGGGUUCUCAGGCCCCCUGUACAAAUGCUCUUGAACUGAUUCUGCUUCUGUAAUGGCUUCUCAUUUCAAAUAAAACAUUGACACGGAUAAA